UGACUUCCGGUCGGCGCCAGCGCUUAAUGGCGGUCCUCCCUUCGAGCUCCGGAGGAGGACUGCUCCGCGAGUUCGGGUCUGACCUGCUACGGCGAGCGGGGGACCCCUAAAAUCACAGGCGCGGAAGCCUGUGAACAAGGAGACUCGGUGGGCACCUUUUGCGCCCCCCGGUACUGUGAAAGAGCCUUUUUAAAGGCUACGGAGCGGCAUCGGGGGUGAGCGCGGUGCUGAGAGUCGCAACCCAGCCCGUGGAGUGAAGCCGCGUCGCCAUGAGCGGAGAGCGCCGAUUCCUUCCUGAACCAGAAAUUCGACUCUAAAGCCCGUGAGUAAGACGGAGGGACUGAAAGGGACAUUUAAAUUUAAAUCUUGAAAUUUGGCUGAAAACGGGAAAGGCAUAAAUUAAGGAAGUCUGCCUCCCCGAUCUGCAUGGCAAGUAAAGCAACGAAAGAGUAAAGCUGCAUUUGAAAGAAAAUUACCUUUAAGCUGUCAAACCUGACAUUUGACUUAAACCUCCCCCCCAGUAAGCAGGAGAGGGGGAAGAAAAUUGGACACUGUUAACCUGCUUGAAAUUAAAUGAGG
Podarcis lilfordi (Lilford's wall lizard) is the source of this 579-nucleotide non-coding RNA. The record is from the annotation of a GenBank genome assembly. Lineage: Eukaryota; Metazoa; Chordata; Lepidosauria; Squamata; Lacertidae.